GACGAACGCUGGCGGCGUGCUUAACACAUGCAAGUCGAACGGAAAGGCCCUGCUUUUGUGGGUGGCUCGAGUGGCGAACGGGUGAGUAACACGUGAGUAACCUGCCCUUGACUUUGGGAUAACUUCAGGAAACUGGGGCUAAUACCGGAUAGGAGCUCCUGCUGCAGGGUGGGGGUGGGAAAGUUUCGGCGGUUGGGGAUGGACUCGCGGCUUAUCAGCUUGUUGGUGGGGUAGUGGCUUACCAAGGCUUUGACGGGUAGCCGGCCUGAGAGGGUGACCGGCCACAUUGGGACUGAGAUACGGCCCAGACUCCUACGGGAGGCAGCAGUGGGGAAUAUUGCACAAUGGGCGGAAGCCUGAUGCAGCAACGCCGCGUGCGGGAUGACGGCCUUCGGGUUGUAAACCGCUUUCGCCUGUGACGAAGCGUGAGUGACGGUAAUGGGUAAAGAAGCACCGGCUAACUACGUG
RNAcentral lists this ribosomal RNA (468 nucleotides) under uncultured bacterium. RNAcentral describes it as "partial 16S ribosomal RNA". It matches the Rfam family "Bacterial small subunit ribosomal RNA", at positions 28 to 507 of the family's 1533-position model. The record is from RNAcentral.